RNAcentral lists this ribosomal RNA (433 nucleotides) under uncultured bacterium. Its description in RNAcentral is "partial 16S ribosomal RNA". It matches the Rfam family "Bacterial small subunit ribosomal RNA", at positions 29 to 507 of the family's 1533-position model. The record is from RNAcentral.
AACGAACGCUGGCGGCAUGCCUAACACAUGCAAGUCGAACGAGAACUUCGGGUCUAGUGGCGCACGGGUGCGUAACGCGUGGGAACCUGCCCUUAGGUUCGGAAUAACUCCCCGAAAGGGGUGCUAAUACCGGAUAAUGUCUUCGGACCAAAGAUUUAUCGCCUUUGGAUGGGCCCGCGUUGGAUUAGCUAGUUGGUAGGGUAAAAGCCUACCAAGGCGACGAUCCAUAGCUGGUCUGAGAGGAUGAUCAGCCACACUGGGACUGAGACACGGCCCAGACUCCUACGGGAGGCAGCAGUGGGGAAUAUUGGACAAUGGGCGAAAGCCUGAUCCAGCAAUGCCGCGUGAGAGAUGAAGGCCUUAGGGUUGUAAAGCUCUUUUACCCGGGAUGAUAAUGACAGUACCGGGAGAAUAAGCUCCGGCUAACUCCGUG